Ipomoea triloba (trilobed morning glory) is the source of this 2007-nucleotide RNA transcript. It is a transcript of the gene named E3 ubiquitin-protein ligase AIRP2-like, with no coding region annotated. NCBI's taxonomy places the organism in Eukaryota, Viridiplantae, Streptophyta, Magnoliopsida, Solanales, Convolvulaceae. The transcript is spliced from 7 exons. The record is from RefSeq and is a predicted model, not a curated record.
UUAUCUUUUGUUAAAAAUUGGGUGUUCUAUUAUUAUUUUAUUUCAAGAAACACAGAAAAGGGUAGAGAGAGCAGACUUUGUUGUUUUCGCUAGGCAGCUGUAUUUGCGAGAGAAAGACUUGUUCCAUUCCUUCUUCUUCUUUUUCCUCUCAAGAAAGCACAGAAAUUUUUAUUGACUGCAAAAAAGAAGAAGAAAACCUGUUUGCAAAAAUGGAGAUGAUGUAUUACCAGCUUGGAAGGAGCUCCUAUCAGGAAUCCUUGAAAGUUCUCGAGUCAGAUAUCCAGCAUGCAAAUGCUCUGGCUGCUGCAAUUCCGAGACAAAAAGGCGCAUCACACCUUCAAAUGGAACUGGUCUACAAUCAGUUGGCACCGCUUUUCCUUUUUUUGCUUCGUUGGAUUGAUUGUUCCUGCUCUUGUCUGCUUUCGGAGUACCUAAAUCCCAUUUACAUCCUCAUUUAUAAGGUAGAUGCCGAAGGAAGAUUAAAAAUAUCCCGACAUGGGCGGAAGGCAACUGUUAGCGAUUUUUAUGCUGUUAUACUGCCAUCGCUUCGUCGACUCCAUUUUGACUUGGUGGAAUUUGGCAAUGCCAAAGAUGAAAGCGUUGGCAAGAAAAGAUUGAAAGGGGAUUCGAAAUUUGCAGAGUUUGAUAGGGAGAGAGAAGCAGAAUGCGGAAUAUGCUUAGAACCUUGCACCAAAAUGGUGUUGCCUAAUUGCUGCCAUUCAAUGUGCAUGAAUUGCUAUCGUGAUUGGAACAUGAGAUCGGAGUCGUGUCCCUUCUGUCGUGGUAGUUUGAAGAGGGUGAAAUCAAAAGACUUGUGGGUUCUCACCUCCAAUGAUGAAGUGGUCGACCCCGAUGCUGUUUCCAAAGAAGAUUUGCUGCGUUUCUAUCUCUACAUCAAAAGCCUCCCUAAGAAUUACCCAGAUGCGCUGUUCUUGAUGUAUUAUGAGUAUCUAAUAUGAUGCAAAGUGACCCUUUAAAGAUAGGAAAAACGCCCAUCUUCAAUGUAAAUAGAAUCUGGGUCUGUGCAUGCGGAUGUGGUGGGGGCGCCACACACCGUAUUCGGGUCGAAGUUGAGAUCUCCUUUGCCAGUUCCGCAACAUGCUUUCUUAGUAUCUUCCAACUGGUACUUUGCAGGGUUCGUCACUAUUGUUUCGUAUGCUUUCCAGAAGUCUGCAUAUAGGAUUGCACAGUCCCAGCACUCCCUGCGCAGUUCUCUCACUUUGCUUUGAAGUAUUUCAUUGUGUAGCUUUAUUGCCGAGUUGACAGGAGCAACACAUCCCAUUUGGUCCAGUUUACGUGGCUCGAAUGACGAGAUACUUAGAGGAAGGCACCCCAGUGGCGGAAAUUUUUGAACCAGUGUAUCUGUGUCUCAAAGGUCAUAGGUAUGCCUUUCCAGAUAACGUGUGUAAGUUCCUCAUUUGUGAAGUAUUUGUGCUGGAGAGACGUGGAUCCAGCGAUUGCAAAGUUGACACCAGUUGUGGCUGCCCCGGAGUUGAAGUUUUUGGAAGCAUUUAGGUACGGCUGUGGAGAUGGCAAAGAGAAGGCCGCAGACACAAAGUCCACCGCCAAUCGACCAUUGCAUAAUCGCCCUCCAGAACGCUGGCAGGUAACACCAUAGUUUCCUUUAAGGCGUCCCAUUAUGUAUGCAUUUCCAGUGUCUGUGAAUGAGCCCCCGAAGGCAUACAACGCAGAGAAGCUGUUGCCAUGUUUCCCCUGCAAACCCCCGCUUUCUUGCCCAUCGCCAUCGACAUAUGUCGAAAAACACAACAACAAAGAAGAUGUUAUGAAGGAGGAGAGGGUUAGAGAAGAGGAAAACAUGUUCUUUGGCAUAAAAUUUUUUUUUUUUAUGUUGUCUUCAACAAAUGCAUGCGCAUUAUUUAUGCAUUAUUACCAUUGGCCAAUGAUAACUGAUUUAGAUCAGUGGACACCCAUGGUUUUAGGGAAGAUCAUUGCUUCCUUGUUGAAUAUUUGACCACAACAGCUUUAUGAACAUGCUACAAUUUUGCA